UACGGGGGGGGCAAGCGUUGUUCGGAAUUACUGGGCGUAAAGGGCUCGUAGGCGGCCAACUAAGUCGGAUGUGAAAUCCCCAGGCUCAACCUGGGAACUGCAUCCGAUACUGGAUGGCUUGAAUCCGGGAGAGGGAUGCAGAAUUCCAGGUGUAGCGGUGAAAUGCGUAGAUAUCAGGAGGAACACCGGUGGCGAAGGCGGGUCUCUGGGCCGAUACUGACGCUGAGGAGCGAAAGCGUGGGGAGCAAACAGG
RNAcentral lists this ribosomal RNA (253 nucleotides) under uncultured bacterium. RNAcentral's name for it is "partial 16S ribosomal RNA". It matches the Rfam family "Bacterial small subunit ribosomal RNA", at positions 524 to 776 of the family's 1533-position model. The record is from RNAcentral.